UCUUCCUACAAAGGCAUGGCUGUGGUUUCCUGUCCUUGGACAUGUAAGAAAUGGAGGCAAAGAAAUGUGGACUUCAAGAAGUCUACAGCCAGCUCACUCCCUGCAGGCUCAAGAUCACCCUCUCCCACACAG
RNAcentral lists this small nucleolar RNA (132 nucleotides) under Dasypus novemcinctus (nine-banded armadillo). Its description in RNAcentral is "Small nucleolar RNA SNORA38 (ENSDNOG00000036538.1)". It matches the Rfam family "Small nucleolar RNA SNORA38". Rfam says of the family: ACA38 is a member of the H/ACA class of snoRNA that guide the sites of modification of uridines to pseudouridines. Lineage: Eukaryota; Metazoa; Chordata; Mammalia; Cingulata; Dasypodidae. The record is from RNAcentral.